This 429-nucleotide ribosomal RNA is filed under the name uncultured bacterium. RNAcentral's name for it is "bacterial SSU rRNA". It matches the Rfam family "Bacterial small subunit ribosomal RNA", at positions 355 to 776 of the family's 1533-position model. The record is from RNAcentral.
UGGGGAAUCUUGCGCAAUGGGCGAAAGCCUGACGCAGCGACGCCGCGUGAGUGAUGAAGGCCCUAGGGUUGUAAAGCUCUGUGGAGAGGGACGAAUAAGCGCCGGCGAAUAUCCGGCGUGAUGACGGUACCUUUUUAGCAAGCACCGGCUAACUCUGUGCCAGCAGCCGCGGUAAGACAGAGGGUGCAAACGUUGUUCGGAAUUACUGGGCGUAAAGCGCGUGUAGGCUGUCAUGCAAGUCGGGUGUGAAAGCCCAGGGCUCAACCCUGGAAGUGCACUCGAAACUGCAAGACUUGAGUCUCGGAGAGGAAAGCGGAAUUCUGGGUGUAGAGGUGAAAUUCGUAGAUAUCCAGAGGAACACCGGUGGCGAAGGCGGCUUUCUGGACGAGUUACUGACGCUGAGACGCGAAAGCGUGGGGAGCAAACAGG